Molecule: microRNA, 22 nt
Filed under: Zea mays
Lineage: Eukaryota; Viridiplantae; Streptophyta; Magnoliopsida; Poales; Poaceae
Description: microRNA miR-3086
Source: RNAcentral
UCCCUCUCUCCCUUGAAGGCUC